This is an RNA transcript of Nilaparvata lugens (brown planthopper), 1497 nucleotides long. RefSeq lists it as uncharacterized. The transcript has 3 exons. The record is from RefSeq and is a predicted model, not a curated record. Lineage: Eukaryota; Metazoa; Arthropoda; Insecta; Hemiptera; Delphacidae.
UAUACCUUCCACCCAGCUCACAGCUGUCAAACAUGCUGUUCCACAGACUUGUGAAACAAUAGGCAGAAAGAUGUUAGACAUAAGAAUCCAUUCUCGGAAUUAUAUUGUUUCGAAAAUUUGCUGGGUCUAAGAAUCAACAAUGUGAAAACCCAGAGCUAUUUCUCCUAUUCUCUACUAGCAAAAGAAGGUUGUCUGCCUUCACUGUCAAAGUUUGUCUUCUCAAACAAGUUCUCCUUUACCUGCUAGAGCUAUAUUCAUACUGGAGUUCCCUAAAAUUCUAUUCAUUAUUGUUAAGUGAAACUCCUCCUGCUAAAAGUCCCUUCUUUUUGUCCUUUCGCAGUUUUUUCUUGCUUGGGACAGUUCAGUGUUCAGUCUCCAGUAUACGUUCGUCGAGCAAGCAUUCAGCAUAAUUUGGCAAUUGAGUGAAGUGAGCCCUUAUAUCAGUAAUGACGCUGAUAUGCUAAUGUAAGGUACAUAACUCUAAAUGCGCGAAUUUUGUCUAGGUAGCUUGAAUCAAACUUAAAAUGGUGCGCGGUAGACGUCCAAAAGUGUGUAAUGAGGAGGUAUGUGGAGUGGUUUCGCUCUUUAAAACAAGAGUUUUUGAAAACGGGAAAAUCGUGCCCCCGACAAACAGUGUUUUUAUUGAAAUGUCGAAUAGUUUGAAUGCGCGGAUGACACCGAAAGCGAUCUAUCUUUUCAUUCGUAACAAUAAGUGUGCCCAGUCAAUGUACAAUGAGUGGGGACUUCAACGUGUUCUAGAAGAAGAGGAUCAACAGAUGAAACAUCAGAGGCAUCUUCUGCCAAAGACAAAGCCUUGUGAUUUACCUCUCGUUAUCACUCUAAAUGAAGUGACAUAUACUCUAAGAGGUUUUCUGGGAUUCUGUGGGAAAACAUCAAGCAUCACAAGUAUUGGACAUUAUGUUGCUUAUGUAAGACGGUGCAAUGAUACAUGGGAGCUAUACGAUGACACUAAAGACUCCAAGAUUUGUGUGUCGCCAAGCAAAUCGGUACCCUGUCAAGUAUUGGUCUAUACAGUUUAAUGCAAGGUACGUUUCGAUAAAUUUAUAUUCAUAUUUGUGUACACGUGUACAAUAAUUAUACAUAGUGGGUGAAAUGUAUGAGAAUGGCUUAAUAUCUCAUUCACAAAGCUAAUUUGACGGUUGUUAUGAUUGAGGAUCCUAAUAAAAUUAAAAAACAGUACUACUUUACUGUGACUUGAAGAAUCUGGUCCGCCACUUUGAAUGUAUUUUCUUUUAAUAGGAAGGUGAUCAUGCGAUACAUGAUUGCAAUUAGGAAAUUGAAGACAAAAUUAAUGGUGAAAACCGCACAUUGAUAUGUCAAACCGUUUCGAAGUUCAGAAAACCCUGCAAAUCAGAAAUUAAAUAAAUAUGUUGCUAACUGGCGUAGGCUACUGAUAUUUAUUGCUGACUGGUUUAGCUUGUGAAUUAAUUAGUGAUUUAAGUGUGAUGUGAAUAAAAUGAAAAGUUUAAUUUUCAA